RNAcentral lists this long non-coding RNA (282 nucleotides) under Solanum tuberosum (potato). RNAcentral's name for it is "long non-coding RNA (STUB_LNC005092)". Lineage: Eukaryota; Viridiplantae; Streptophyta; Magnoliopsida; Solanales; Solanaceae. The record is from RNAcentral.
GCUUAAGUCAUCGAAAGCCUCUUAAAGUUAUCCGCAUAAUUCAUUUAGACAUCUCAACUAAGACUCUUACCUAUUAGACACUUUAAUAUUAACAAAUAUUUAACUAUUGAACAUAAAAUGACAACUAGCUUUAAAAAUAUUGUGCGUGUAAUUCACACACAUUAUCUUGACAAAAUCACGAAUAGAAUUACGAUAUGUGGCACAUGGGCCCAUGAUUUUAGUUUUGAAAAUAAAAUAAAAAAAUCAGCCUUUAAUAAUCUAGAAAAUUAAAUUGACUCCCCC